CGAAGGUGGCAAGCGUUGUUCGGAUUUACUGGGCGUACAGGGAGCGUAGGCGGAUGGAUAAGCCCUCCGUGAAAUCUCCAGGCUUAACCUGGAAAGUGCAGAGGGGACUGUUCAGCUAGAGGAUGGGAGAGGAGCGCGGAAUUCCCGGUGUAGCGGUGAAAUGCGUAGAGAUCGGGAGGAAGGCCGGUGGCGAAGGCGGCGCUCUGGAACAUUUCUGACGCUGAGGCUCGAAAGCGUGGGGAGCAAACAGGAUUAGAUACCCUGGUAGUCCACGCCUUAAACGAUGGAUACUAAGUGUCGGCGGGUUACCGCCGGUGCCGCAGCUAACGCAGUAAGUAUCCCGCCUGGGAAGUACGGCCGCAAGGUUG
RNAcentral lists this ribosomal RNA (368 nucleotides) under uncultured organism. RNAcentral's name for it is "bacterial SSU rRNA". It matches the Rfam family "Bacterial small subunit ribosomal RNA", at positions 526 to 896 of the family's 1533-position model. The record is from RNAcentral.